RNAcentral lists this ribosomal RNA (406 nucleotides) under uncultured bacterium. Its description in RNAcentral is "partial 16S ribosomal RNA". It matches the Rfam family "Bacterial small subunit ribosomal RNA", at positions 29 to 526 of the family's 1533-position model. The record is from RNAcentral.
AUUGAACGCUGGCGGCAGGCCUAACACAUGCAAGUCGAACGAGUGGCGGACGGGUGAGUAAUGUCUGGGGAACUGCCCGAUGGAGGGGGAUCACUACUGGAAACGGUAGCUAAUACCGCAUACCAUCGGAUGUGCCCAGAUGGGAUUAGCUAGUGGGUGGGGAAACGGCUCACCUAGGCGACGAUCCCUAGCUGGUCUGAGAGGAUGACCAGCCACACUGGAACUGAGAAACGGUCCAGACGCCUACGGGAGGCAGCAGUGGGGAAUAUUGAACAAUGGGGGCAAGCCUGAUGCAGCCAUGCCGCGUGUAUGAAGAAGGCCUUCGGGUUGUAAAGUACUUUCAGCGGGGAGGCGUUACCCGCAGAAGAAGCACCGGCUAACUCCGUGCCAGCAGCCGCGGUAAUAC